CGUAGGGGCAAGCGUUGUCCGGAUUUAUUGGGCGUAAAGCGCUCGCAGGUGGUCCGAUGCGUCGUGCGUGAAAGACCCUGGCUCAACUGGGGGGUGUCGUGCGAUACGGUCGGACUGGAGGCCAGUAGGGGGAUGCGGAAUUCCGGGUGUAGUGGUGGAAUGCGUAGAGAUCCGGAGGAACACCAGCGGCGAAGGCGGCAUCCUGGACUGGUCCUGACACUCAUGAGCGAAAGCGUGGGGAGCGAUCCGGAUUAGAUACCCGGGUAGUCCACGCUGUAAACGAUGCGUACUAGGUGUCGGGGGUAUCGACCCCCUCGGUGCCGCAGCUAACGCGAUAAGUACGCCGCCUGGGGACUACGGCCGCAAGGCUA
Molecule: ribosomal RNA, 371 nt
Filed under: uncultured organism
Description: bacterial SSU rRNA
Rfam family: Bacterial small subunit ribosomal RNA
Source: RNAcentral